GAUCCUGGCUCGGGGUGAACGCUAGCUACAGGCUUAACACAUGCAAGUCGAGGGGCAGCAUGAACUUAGCUUGCUAAGUUUGAUGGCGACCGGCGCACGGGUGAGUAACACGUAUCCAACCUGCCGAUGACUCGGGGAUAGCCUUUCGAAAGAAAGAUUAAUACCCGAUGGCAUAGUUCUUCCGCAUGGUGGAACUAUUAAAGAAUUUCGGUCAUCGAUGGGGAUGCGUUCCAUUAGGUUGUUGG
RNAcentral lists this ribosomal RNA (245 nucleotides) under uncultured bacterium. Its description in RNAcentral is "partial 16S ribosomal RNA". It matches the Rfam family "Bacterial small subunit ribosomal RNA", at positions 15 to 252 of the family's 1533-position model. The record is from RNAcentral.